GGAGGCAGGAGGAGAGACCCGCGGCCGCCGGCGGUCCGAGUGGAGGGGAAUCUGAACUUCAGGUAAGAAGUGUUGAACUGCAGUCUAUCUGGUUCAGAUAUGAAUUAAGCGUGGGUGUAGUUUAUUUUCAUUGCGCUCGCUAACUCUUAACACCGCCAGUAGUUAUAAUUAGGCCGUUAAGCAAUGUAGCUAGCUGUGCAUGCAAACUAACAUGAUGGGGUUUCUCUAAUGCUGGACGGUUUCUAUGAUGCUAUUCUAGUUGUAAUUAUGUUAGUGCUUAAGUAACUUUAUUUUAUUAAUUUAGUUAAGUAUUAUCUGUAUUUGUUAGGUAGUUAAAAACUUUAUAAGGUCGAGCGGACGCGCCGGCGCGUCCGAGCACAUAACUUUUUUUUUGAAAGACAACACAGGCAAGAUCUAGCCUGGUAGUUUCCAUUCCAACUUCUGUCAAAAGUGCGAAAUCUCAACUAUAUGACAGUUUAUGAGUGGUCUCAAUUGGCAAAGUUAAACCAUAUUUAUGAUAAGUCGAUCACUCCAUUUGGAAGGCUGCCGUGGUCACAUUUUGAUAUUCAUCUCAUCUCUGUUCCUCUCUGUCCUUUUUUCUGGAUCCCAUCAUGUUCUAUGUUUGUUCAGGAGGUUCACUUGACCAUGCAGACUUUUGGAUUCCUCUAAGUUCCCAUGUUUGAGGAAGCAUUUGGUGUUGCUGUGCAAAGUGUUGCUGCAGUGGAGGUUCAAGGUUACUGUUUAUUGAUAUGGAUCCCAUCAUACUUUGUUCAUUGUUUGUUCAGGAGUUUGCCCUAAGUCUCCGUGUUUGAGGGCCUAUUCUGUGGAUAUAUUUAUUUGCACUUUUAUUGAUGCAGUAAAUAAAUAGUCUAUGAAAAAAUCACUAAAUCUGUCAUUUAUUCAUUUUAAUAUAUUCAUCAAUGAUCAUGUCUCACCUCUAUUCCGUAUUAAUCCCUGUCCUAAUUUCAGGAUCCCAUCAUACGUUGUACAUUGUUCAGGAGGUUAACUAGACCAUGCAGCCUUUUGAUAUCCGCUAAGUACUGUAUAGAAUAUUGGAACUGGAAGGAUGGUGUAUGUUUAAGUUUAUGUUUAAGUAUAUAUACACCAACAAGACAGCGUGAAAGCAUUGUCACAAGAAAGUUUGUUUUCAUUCAUAGGCUUAAUUGUCUUUCCAUCAAUACCUGGUGGGCCGGUCUCGGCUCAAAAUGCCCGGGCCGAUUUUUUGUCCCAGUCCAGCCCUGCUUUCGACCAAAAAUAAACUAGUCCGGCCC
Long non-coding RNA from Corythoichthys intestinalis (scribbled pipefish), 1271 nucleotides. RefSeq lists it as uncharacterized. The transcript has 4 exons. The record is from RefSeq and is a predicted model, not a curated record. Lineage: Eukaryota; Metazoa; Chordata; Actinopteri; Syngnathiformes; Syngnathidae.